GAUGAACGCUGGCGGCGUGCCUAAUACAUGCAAGUCGAGCGAAAAGACGAGGAGCUUGCUCCUCUGACGUUAGCGGCGGACGGGUGAGUAACACGUGGAUAACCUACCUAUAAGACUGGGAUAACUUCGGGAAACCGGAGCUAAUACCGGAUAAUAUAUUGAACUGCAUGGUUCAAUAGUGAAAGACGGUUUUGCUGUCACUUAUAGCUGGAUCCGCGCCGCAUUAGCUAGUUGGUAAGGUAACGGCUUCCAAGGCAACGAUGCGUAGCCGAACUGAGAGGUUGAUCGGCCACACUGGAACUGAGACACGGUCCAGACUCCUACGGGAGGCAGCAGUAGGGAAUCUUCCGCAAUGGGCGAAAGCUUGACGGAGCAACGCCGCGUGAGUGAUGAAGGUCUUCGGAUCGUAAAACUCUGUUAUUAGGAAAGAACAAAUGUGUAAGUAACUAUGCACGUCUUGACGGUACCUAAUCAGAAAGCCACGGCUAACUACGUG
This 496-nucleotide ribosomal RNA is filed under the name uncultured bacterium. Its description in RNAcentral is "partial 16S ribosomal RNA". It matches the Rfam family "Bacterial small subunit ribosomal RNA", at positions 28 to 507 of the family's 1533-position model. The record is from RNAcentral.